AAUAUUGCACAAUGGGCGAAAGCCUGAUGCAGCAACGCCGCGUGAAUGAUGAAGGCCUUCGGGUCGUAAAGUUCUUUGACCAGGGAUGAUAAUGACAGUACCUCAAAAACAAGCCACGGCUACCUCCGUGCCAGCCGCCGCGGUGCUACGUAGGUGGCGAGCGUUGUCCGGAAUUACUGGGCGUAAAGCAUGCGUAGGUGGAUACUUAAGUGGGAUGUGAAAUCCCCGGGCUCAACCCGGGAACUGCAUUCCAAACUGGGUAUCUAGAGUGCAGGAGAGGAAAGCGGAAUUCCUAGUGUAGCGGUGAAAUGCGUAGAUAUUAGGAGGAACACCAGUGGCGAAGGCGGCUUUCUGGACUGUAACUGACACUGAGGCAUGAAAGCGUGGGUAGCAAACAGG
This 399-nucleotide ribosomal RNA is filed under the name uncultured bacterium. RNAcentral's name for it is "partial 16S ribosomal RNA". It matches the Rfam family "Bacterial small subunit ribosomal RNA", at positions 360 to 776 of the family's 1533-position model. The record is from RNAcentral.